RNAcentral lists this ribosomal RNA (229 nucleotides) under uncultured bacterium. RNAcentral's name for it is "partial 16S ribosomal RNA". It matches the Rfam family "Bacterial small subunit ribosomal RNA", at positions 568 to 796 of the family's 1533-position model. The record is from RNAcentral.
CGUGUAGGCGGCUUCGUAAGUCGCAUGUGAAAGCCCCGGGCUUAACCUGGGAAUUGCAUGCGAUACUGCGCGGCUAGAGUUUGGUAGAGGGAAGUGGAAUUCCAGGUGUAGCGGUGAAAUGCGUAGAGAUCUGGAGGAACAUCAGUGGCGAAGGCGGCUUCCUGGAUCAAAACUGACGCUGAGGCUCGAAAGCGUGGGGAGCAAACAGGAUUAGAUACCCUGGUAGUCC